This 446-nucleotide ribosomal RNA is filed under the name uncultured bacterium. RNAcentral's name for it is "partial 16S ribosomal RNA". It matches the Rfam family "Bacterial small subunit ribosomal RNA", at positions 338 to 795 of the family's 1533-position model. The record is from RNAcentral.
CCUACGGGAGGCAGCAGUCGAGAAUCAUUCACAAUGGGGGAAACCCUGAUGGUGCGACGCCGCGUGGGGGAAUGAAGGUCUUCGGAUUGUAAACCCCUGUCAUGUGGGAGCAAAUUAAAAAGAGCGUACCACAAGAGGAAGAGACGGCCAACUCUGUGCCAGUAACCGCGGUAAUACAGAGGUCUCAAGCGUUGAUCGGAAUCAAUGGGCUUAAAGGGUUCGGUUGCUGUUUGGUAAGUCGUGUGGGAAAUGGGCGGGCUCAACCCGCGGCCGGCACCUGAUACUGCGAGACUAGAGUGAGGGAGAGGGACGCGGAAUGCGAGGUGUAGCGGUGAAAUGCGUAGAUAUCGAGAGGAACACUCAUGGCGAAGGCAGGUUACUGGCCACUAACUGACGCUGAGGCACGAAGGCGAGGGGAGCGAACGGGAUUAGAUACCCCGGUAGUC